UGGAGUCACUACCAGUGCUGUG
RNAcentral lists this microRNA (22 nucleotides) under Gallus gallus (chicken). RNAcentral describes it as "gga-miR-1685-5p". The record is from miRBase by way of RNAcentral. Lineage: Eukaryota; Metazoa; Chordata; Aves; Galliformes; Phasianidae.